AUUGAACGCUGGCGGCAGGCCUAACACAUGCAAGUCGAGCGGAUGAAGGGAGCUUGCUCCUGGAUUCAGCGGCGGACGGGUGAGUAAUGCCUAGGAAUCUGCCUGGUAGUGGGGGAUAACGUCCGGAAACGGGCGCUAAUACCGCAUACGUCCUGCGGGAGAAAGUGGGGGAUCUUCGGACCUCACGCUAUCAGAUGAGCCUAGGUCGGAUUAGCUAGUUGGUGGGGUAAAGGCCUACCAAGGCGACGAUCCGUAACUGGUCUGAGAGGAUGAUCAGUCACACUGGAACUGAGACACGGUCCAGACUCCUACGGGAGGCCGCAGUGGGGAAUAUUGGACAAUGGGCGAAAGCCUGAUCCAGCCAUGCCGCGUGUGUGAAGAAGGUCUUCGGAUUGUAAAGCACUUUAAGUUGGGAGGAAGGGCAGUAAGUUAAUACCUUGCUGUUUUGACGUUACCAACAGAAUAAGCACCGGCUAACUUCGUG
RNAcentral lists this ribosomal RNA (484 nucleotides) under uncultured bacterium. RNAcentral describes it as "partial 16S ribosomal RNA". It matches the Rfam family "Bacterial small subunit ribosomal RNA", at positions 30 to 507 of the family's 1533-position model. The record is from RNAcentral.